Molecule: ribosomal RNA, 974 nt
Filed under: Salmonella enterica subsp. enterica serovar Enteritidis
Lineage: Bacteria; Pseudomonadati; Pseudomonadota; Gammaproteobacteria; Enterobacterales; Enterobacteriaceae
Description: partial 23S ribosomal RNA
Rfam family: Bacterial large subunit ribosomal RNA
Source: RNAcentral
AAUCCAUAGGUUAAUGAGGCGAACCGGGGGAACUGAAACAUCUAAGUACCCCGAGGAAAAGAAAUCAACCGAGAUUCCCCCAGUAGCGGCGAGCGAACGGGGAGGAGCCCAGAGCCUGAAUCAGCAUGUGUGUUAGUGGAAGCGUCUGGAAAGGCGCGCGAUACAGGGUGACAGCCCCGUACACAAAAGCGCAUGUGCUGUGAGCUCGAUGAGUAGGGCGGGACACGUGGUAUCCUGUCUGAAUAUGGGGGGACCAUCCUCCAAGGCUAAAUACUCCUGACUGACCGAUAGUGAACCAGUACCGUGAGGGAAAGGCGAAAAGAACCCCGGCGAGGGGAGUGAAAAAGAACCUGAAACCGUGUACGUACAAGCAGUGGGAGCACAGGUUUACCUGUGUGACUGCGUACCUUUUGUAUAAUGGGUCAGCGACUUAUAUUCUGUAGCAAGGUUAACCGAAUAGGGGAGCCGGAGGGAAACCGAGUCUUAAUUGGGCGUUAAGUUGCAGGGUAUAGACCCGAAACCCGGUGAUCUAGCCAUGGGCAGGUUGAAGGUUGGGUAACACUAACUGGAGGACCGAACCGACUAAUGUUGAAAAAUUAGCGGAUGACCUGUGGCUGGGGGUGAAAGGCCAAUCAAACCGGGAGAUAGCUGGUUCUCCCCGAAAGCUAUUUAGGUAGCGCCUCGUGAAUUCAUCUCCGGGGGUAGAGCACUGUUUCGGCUAGGGGGCCAUCCCGGCUUACCAACCCGAUGCAAACUGCGAAUACCGGAGAAUGUUAUCACGGGAGACACACGGCGGGUGCUAACGUCCGUCGUGAAGAGGGAAACAACCCAGACCGCCAGCUAAGGUCCCAAAGUCAUGGUUAAGUGGGAAACGAUGUGGGAAGGCCCAGACAGCCAGGAUGUUGGCUUAGAAGCAGCCAUCAUUUAAAGAAAGCGUAAUAGCUCACUGGUCGAGUCGGCCUGCGCGGAAGAUG